RNAcentral lists this long non-coding RNA (1517 nucleotides) under Cairina moschata (Muscovy duck). RNAcentral's name for it is "domestica (muscovy Duck (domestic type)) lncRNA (ENSCMMG00000014313.1)". The record is from RNAcentral. Lineage: Eukaryota; Metazoa; Chordata; Aves; Anseriformes; Anatidae.
AUGCUUAUUUAUAGCACAUUAUGCUUCAGUUACGUUUCUUGCUCUAUUGGAACGUAUUUAUCUGUACCUGUAUUAGCGUAUAUGUAUAUAUGCGACCUGGAGCAGACGCUGGACACCCUCCCUCAGCUCACGCCGCCAAUAAAAGCCCCCAGAAGACAGCUUGUCGCCUCUUGGUGCCACACACCACCACCCAGCCCCUCACAGGGGAAGGAGCGGGGACGACGGCGCCGCCAACGGUCCCUAACGGUCGGCCAACGGUCGGCCAACGGCCGCGGCGCGCGCCCCGUGAGGCGGCGGCAUGGCGCGAGGCGCGGUGGUGCGGGUGCGGCAGGGCCCGGCCUGGCGCCACGGGCUGCCGCAGGACGGCGCCGCCCGCCUGCAGGGCCUGCGAGCUGUCCUGCAGGCAGAUGGGCACCAGCUGAUUCUAGAGGAGAUACCAGACUGGAAUACUGUAGAACUCAUAGUAAAUGGGGAGACUGUAUUUCGCUGCAACAUCAAUGACCUGGAUUUUGGAGGUGAUGGCAAGUUGGAUCCACUCUGUGAAGAAGCCAGAAAAGCAGUGUUAAAUGCUUACUAAUUUAUAGGUUCACAGUGCUUACUGAUUUAUAGGUUCACAUUCUCUUUUACCCUUGUUUUUCUGCCAGGCAAUUUGCUUGCAUCACAAAAGUAUUAGAAAUUUUACAAUAUAGUUGUCUCUUCAUGCUUCUGUCUCUCUUAAUGUGUCAUUCAGACAGGAAUAUACAUCCUUUUCCAGAGCCAGUCAUGUGUUACCACCCUGAAUGUCACAAACUCAUAUAGAACUGUGACUAACAAGUAGUUCAAAUAGUUUGAUUUUAAUUAAAAGAAGAAUGAAAUUCCUGGACAUCUUGCAUUAUUUCAACUUUCAUGGAGUUUCCUAUGUUAAAGAUAGUCAUUUCAAAUUUAAUAGCUGCUGAUCAAUCCAUACAUACUCACACAAAUGUGCCAGUUUCACUUUUCUCUUGGCCGCAAAUAUUCCAGAGAACGUUGUUAUAUCUUUAGACACAGCCCAAGGGUACAGAGAGAAGAAAGCUGGCAUGAUUAUAAGGGCAGGGUUAAAGCUGUCUGCAGUUACCAUUACCAAUAUUCCAGGUAUCAGAAAAGUAACACUGCUUUUUCCUCCCUUUUUUCCCCCCUUGAUAACUAGAUUAUGAGGCUACUAUUUUGUUCCUGAUUUAUCUACAUACACCCUCAACCUCAGUUAAAACCUACUUCUGGUCAAGGUGAAUCCAACAGUUUGCAAGCAGCCAUAUGUUCAGGACACCAGUGCUCUGACAAUUUUCAACUUGACCCAUAUUUAGUUUAUGAAAGAAAGUGGUUAGUUUUUGCAUUCUAACGUAGUUGUAUGAACAGAGAAACACAGCAUACAUUGAGGCUAAGGAGUGCUAGGCAGCUGCAGUUUCUAAUAGGGCUUCAGGCAAGACCAUCUGACCAUUACAGAGCCAAAGACAAAUAAAUCCUAGCACUCACAAUAACUCCUGUAAGCUGCAAGAAGGUAG